UGCAGCUGAGCAGCUAAUUAGUUAUCUAUCCUAACAGUAACCUGUUGAGUUUUCUUCUCAACAAGUAUAGUGAUUGUGGCAGAUUAGGUUUUUUUCUUCCGGCCCCUUAAAUUGUCACCAGGUUGGAUUCAGUGAUUCAUUGGCGCCCUAAUUACUCGAAUGGAUGUUUCCUACCUCUUCCUGGUCCCUGGUUUCUGUGCUGUGUGUCCGCAGUUCCCCAGCCAUUGUAAGUAAUUGAGCCACGGCUUUGCGGCUCUCACCCUCCUGCUGUUUUGGAAGCUACGCCUCCGCUCUCUGGUACUUGUAGGCCAGGCUGUGCACCACAGUGGGUGGCCCUCUCCAACUUCCCGGUGCAACUGCUGUUUUGUCUCUAUGUCUCUACUCUG
Molecule: long non-coding RNA, 386 nt
Organism: Thunnus maccoyii (southern bluefin tuna)
Lineage: Eukaryota; Metazoa; Chordata; Actinopteri; Scombriformes; Scombridae
Exons: 3
Source: RefSeq, a predicted model, not a curated record